GACGAACGCUGGCGGCGUGCUUAACACAUGCAAGUCGAACGGAAAGGCCCUGCUUUUGUCUGGUGCUCGAGUGGCGAACGGGUGAGUAACACGUGAGUAACCUGCCCUUGACUUUGGGAUAACUUCAGGAAACUGGGGCUAAUACCUGAUAGCAGCUCCUGCUGCAUGGUGGGGGUUGGACAGUUUCGGCGGUUGGAGAUGGACUCCCGGCUUAUCAGCUUGUUGGUGGGGUAGUGGCUUACCAAGGCUUUGACGGGUAGCCGGCCUGAGAGGGUGACCGGCCACAUUGGGACUGAGAUGCGGCCCAGACUCCAACGGGAGGCAGCAGUGGGGAAUAUUGCACAAUGGGCGGAAGCCUGAUGCAGAAACGCCGCGUGCGGGAUGACGGCCUUCGGGUUGUAAACCGCUUUAGCCUGUGACGAAGCGUGAGUGACGGUAAUGGGUAAAGAAGCACCGGCUAACUACGUG
This 468-nucleotide ribosomal RNA is filed under the name uncultured bacterium. RNAcentral's name for it is "partial 16S ribosomal RNA". It matches the Rfam family "Bacterial small subunit ribosomal RNA", at positions 28 to 507 of the family's 1533-position model. The record is from RNAcentral.